RNAcentral lists this ribosomal RNA (130 nucleotides) under Paenibacillus xylanilyticus. RNAcentral describes it as "partial 23S ribosomal RNA". It matches the Rfam family "Bacterial large subunit ribosomal RNA", at positions 2789 to 2925 of the family's 2925-position model. The record is from RNAcentral. Lineage: Bacteria; Bacillati; Bacillota; Bacilli; Caryophanales; Paenibacillaceae.
GAAGCCCCCCUCAAGAUGAGAUUUCCCAGUAUGUAAGACCCCUUGAAGACGACGAGGUAGAUAGGCUGGGGGUGGAAGUGCAGCAAUGCAUGGAGCUGACCAGUACUAAUCGGUCGAGGGCUUAUCCAAG